GAGUCGGUGCGUUCAAGUACACCUUGACUGGGACCAUUGACCAUAGAGGGUGAUAGUCCCGUAAGACUGCUGACUUGCUGCGCUGGCUUUUCCCUAGAGUCGAGUUGUUUGGGAGUACAGCUCAAAGUGCGUGGUAAACUCCACGUAAGGCUAAAUAUGACCCCGAGACCGAUAGCGAACAAGUACCGUGAGGGAAAGUUGAAAAGCACUUUGAAGAGAGAGUUCAAGAGUACGUGAAACUGUAUAGUAGUAAACGGAGGGGUUCUCGAAGUCGGCGGUGACGGUUCAGGGUGACGGCGGGGCGGCCUCUGGCUCUGAGAUCUGCAAAGACUCGGGUUGGUUGUUGGCUCUGUCGGCGCCUGCACUCCGUUGCCGCCUCACGCAACGAACCGUUGUUGGCGAGCCGAGGGCUUGGGUGAAGUUGGGGUGCCUUUUUGGUGCCUCAGCCCCGGGUUCCUGGCCUUGUCGGCGACGGGUACUGGAGUGGUCUCGUAUAACGAGUGUCCUCGUUGGCACGGGCUGCAUCUCUGUUGCGAGUAGGUCGGCGACCCCUCCGACCCGUCUUGAAACACGGAC
RNAcentral lists this ribosomal RNA (576 nucleotides) under Oithona davisae. Its description in RNAcentral is "eukaryotic LSU rRNA". It matches the Rfam family "Eukaryotic large subunit ribosomal RNA", at positions 168 to 666 of the family's 3401-position model. Lineage: Eukaryota; Metazoa; Arthropoda; Copepoda; Cyclopoida; Oithonidae. The record is from RNAcentral.